AUACCUUUCUCGGCCUUUUGGCUAAGAUCAAGUGUAGUAUAUGUUCUUAUCAGUUUAAUAUCUGAUAUGUGGGUCAGCGACCCACACGAUAAUAAAUUAAUUUGUUGACGGGGGAGUCCUCAACAAUAGCUUGCUAUUGGGAUCCUUAAGUGUCGCCCAUGUGUUGACUACUACGCGGGCUUGGCACACCCUAU
Molecule: small nuclear RNA, 194 nt
Filed under: Cicer arietinum (chickpea)
Lineage: Eukaryota; Viridiplantae; Streptophyta; Magnoliopsida; Fabales; Fabaceae
Description: U2 spliceosomal RNA
Rfam family: U2 spliceosomal RNA
About the family: U2 is a small nuclear RNA (snRNA) component of the spliceosome (involved in pre-mRNA splicing).
Source: Rfam by way of RNAcentral